AUAUGGAUUAUGUAGAGGCUCAGAAAAAUUACGGUAUAGAAAAAGAAAAUGAAGUAGAUGCGGUUAAUUUAGAAGAAGAUAAUGAAAAUAUUGCUGAGAUACCCGCAGUAGGAGAUGCUAACGUUAGAUCUGAAUCGGUUAAUCUCUCUCCUCGUCCUUCUAGUGCCCCAAGACCUCUUAAAAAAACUAGUGUUGCAUGACAAUUUUUUGAACGUCUAUCAGAUAUUGAGGUGCAAUGCAAUAUUUGUUAACAAAUAUAUAAGCAUAGAAGUGGAGGCAAGCAAGGGGGUACGGGUACGUUAAUG
RNAcentral lists this long non-coding RNA (305 nucleotides) under Capsicum annuum. Its description in RNAcentral is "long non-coding RNA (CANN_LNC018267)". The record is from RNAcentral. Lineage: Eukaryota; Viridiplantae; Streptophyta; Magnoliopsida; Solanales; Solanaceae.